RNAcentral lists this long non-coding RNA (34095 nucleotides) under Phoenix dactylifera (date palm). Its description in RNAcentral is "long non-coding RNA (PDAC_LNC006095)". Lineage: Eukaryota; Viridiplantae; Streptophyta; Magnoliopsida; Arecales; Arecaceae. The record is from RNAcentral.
UUAUUUAAUGAAACAACUAUGACGUCACUUGUGCUGAAGAUUAGUGAUGAAGUUUCAAGCUAGAGUGCCAUCAAAUUAAGCAUAGCCAAGAUUAUAUUGCCUAAUUGAGGUUUUACAUGUGUUCUUUAGGAUUCAUGGUUGACUUGGUCAAGUUACAGGUCAACUCAGACGAGAUUUCAUGCUGAAGCACAUGACAACACAUCUUCCUCUAGGUGUUGCAUGUGUAUAUAUGAACCUAAAUUGCCUAUUCAUGAAUGUUAUCUUGAAAGAAGGUUUGUUUGAAGAGCCUGUAGUUUAAGUUUAUUCUUUGUAUGGUGUCAUGUAGACACUUCGCAUAUGUGCUAGGUGUCCCUAUGUUUUCAUGGAGAUUAUUUGUAAUGAAUACGUCGGCCUCUGUCAAAAUGAAGAUAGUAUACGAUACAUAUGUGUAAAUAUGUGAUUGUAUCAAAACUUGUUGACAACUAGUCUAAAAUGACUAGUUGUAGCUUUCACCAAAAUUACAUUUAUGCCAUUUUACAAGAAAGAAAGCAAGAAAAAGUUGUGAAAUUUCACUUCUAAGUUAUAGAUAUUUUAUAUAAUAUUAAUACUAUCAAUCUGCCACUUGUUGAGAAUUAAAGUUACAUGUAUGCAGUGAUGAGAAUUCCAAUUGAUGCAAUAACAGUCCAUUCUUCGAGUGCACGGAGUUCCAUACCAUGUUGUGCUGUGGCCAGAUGUCCAAAGUAUUUGUGUGCUUAUUGCUCAGAAGUUUAUCUAGGUAGUAUUAGUAUUUCUGAUAUCUCUUCUUUGCCCUUUCCCUUUCUCCCCUUUCAAGUCAACUCAAUGUUAUUUUCACUGUAAUCAACAAUUUUCUGCUAAAUGCAUUAAUUUCCUUAGUCUGCAUUGCUACCUAAAAAACAUUUUGCUAUCCAACUAUUAUUCAAAUCCUUUCACUUCAAAUUAAGAUUCCUAGCCUUGGAGAGCUGACUUUCACUUUCCUUAACAAAACAAUCUUGUCUCAUUCUCCAUAUCCUUCUCUAUAAAUGAUAUUUUUCUUUAUAUGUGAAAUUUGAAAUCUUCAGUUACCUAAAAAAGAAAACUUCAUAUAAUGCAUAAAUUUGAAUUUCAGCCUAUUUCCACUGUCUUUUUUCAGUACACUUCUGCUCCUACAUCCUCCUCAUUACUAUAGUCAUUCUUAAUCUUUUCUUUUCUAAAACUUUUCCUUUUUUCCCUCUACCCAUUGUCAAAGAGAUCCUCCUUUGAUCUGAAAUGGAAAAGAUUUGGAAACACCCUGAACAUGACACUUCAUGUUGAUGGUAAAAUAAAAUUCAUGAAUCAACCUCUAAUAGAUAAUGUACGGAUGGUAAACUGAGGUUUAUUUUUCACCUAGUUGUUUCCUUCCAUUAUAGAAGGAGGUGUUUUCUUUGUAAUUGGUUUAGUUCUCCUGCAAAUAAAUUUAUGAGAUCAAGAAAUCAUCUGGAAGUCUUCUAUGUACCUUAUCCAUAGUUAAGAUGGUGGCUUACUAUCAGUGAAGAAGCUUGGAUAUUCUGGCAGGGGGUUUUCUGAAUAUAUGACCAAUGGAGGAGAGUUGUCCUACCAACAACUUUGUGGGGAGAUUACAGUAGAGUUCAAUGAUUGUUCAAAACAAGUAAGUUACAUUUUAUGGUUUUAAGUUAUAACGGAUUGUGUUCAUAUAUGCUAUAUGGUAAGUAAUCUGAAGUCCUUUUGUUUGAUAGGUUCUAGAAAUGGAAUCGCUGCUUUUGAUGCCAGAUCUCUGUCGUGACGAUCUUGCCGGCCUUCUACGGGAUGUUCAGGCACAAGAAAAACAAAAACUGCAUUUGGUAACUAGUUUUAUUGCACAUUUCUCUCCAUUCUCAUUGGCACAUUUGUUCUUCUCUCCAUUCUCAUUGGCACAUUUGUUCUAGUCUGUUUUCUAGAUUCUAAGCACAAAAAAUGAAGUAAAAUGAUAGAACAUAAUCAGUGGAAUGAACCAGCUUCCAUUUUUUGACAUGAAAAUGAUUGCUUAACCCAUUCAGGUGGUGCAUACUUUAGUGGAGCUUACAUGCCAUGUUAGCUUCAAUAGCAGUAAUUUCAAGUGCUUCAACCGUAACUUUAAACAGCAAGCCUUAGUCGAUCUACAAUGAAUCAACUUUAGUGAUCAAGGUUUGAUCCAUUAGAGUUUUGCCUGAAUUUUAGUAUCGGCACCAAAGUUAUCAAAAUGCUUGGGUGAUCCUACGUGCUGGUCCCUUGAAAUGCCCAAGUGGAAUGCCUAGGCGACUAGACAGGUGCAUAGAGUUCAAAAACUCCCAAGAAUUAAUAAGACUAAUAUUAUAAUACUCUACAAUUAAAUUAUCACAAAUACCUAUAGGAUGUGUUUGGUUCGCGACUGGAAUCAAAAUCAGAAUAGACUGCAAUAGGAAUUGGAAUAGCCAUAUUCCCUAAUACAUUUGGUUCAUGUCGUGAAUCGAAAUCGGAAUCAGAAUCGGAUGGCUGAUUCCCAUUGUUGCUGUUUGGUUCAUUUAAAGGCAAGAAUCGAAAUUAGCCCAAAUUUUCAGUUCCACCCUUGAACUAAAAAUCUUCAAAAACUGAUUGUUUUCAUUUAUUUUUGAUAUAUUUAUCUUAUUUGAUAUUAAAAAUACACAUCAAGGGACUUGAAAUUGAAUACAAUUUAUUAAUUUGGAUAAUCUAACUCAUAGGCUAGUGCGCCAGUCUAUGCAGGUGGUUCUCUCCGACUUGGCCCCAAAACUCUUAGCAAUAAGCAAUCAUUUAUCAAAGACAUCUUAUAAAGAAAAUUGUGUAUAGCAAAAUAUGAUAACCAGCUAGAUUUUUUGGUAAAGAAUGUAUUAGUUAGAAAGAUUGUAUAGUUGCUGAUUUCUGUAACUGGAUCUAAUCACCGAGAACCAAGGCUACCAUAGUGGCAAUUGCUCUAUAUAACAACAUAUAAAGAUGGACUUUCAUAAAAUCUAGUAAACUAGAAAAGCAAAGAACCUAUGUAGCUGAGGGAGCCGUUUGCACACAAGGCCACUGUACUUUCUUUAUACGGAACAACCUCAUGCAUUUACGUCUACAUAACAUAUUUUCCAAAACUACUGACUCAAUUGCAUUUGAUCUGAUGAACAUUAUGAUAUGGCCUAAAUAACGAUAAGACAAGAAGCAACUGGAUGAUUCAUGUUGUGAACUGCAUUUAAGAUGGACAUAAUCAGCAAAAGGAGAUGUCAAUGCAUCAUCUGAUAUGUUUUCAGGGUUGAAGGGGUGUUUUUUAAACAUAGACAAGACAUUAUUUUUAACUCUAGCAUGUGGGGUGUUUGAAUGAUUCAUACAUGUAUGACUACUGAAUACAUCAAUUAAAAAUGCUCUCAACCCAAAUGCUUUGAUUUGCAAUAAUUUUAUUUAGCAAAAUAUGAAGAAUAAAAUGAAAAAUCAAGAUGUCACAUAUUUCACUAUCAACUAAUCAUCACCAAGGUAGGCCGAACCGAACUGAACCGAACCGUCCGGUUCAGCCUAUACCAAGCCGACCCGGUGGGGAACCUGGUCGGUUCGUCCAUUAAAAUUGGUUCCGGCCUUGAAUCGGCCGGAACUUGUUCCAAACCACUUGGAGUCGGCCGAACCGGACCGAAUCGGCCGGAAAAGGCCUGAAUCGGACCAAACCGGCUGGAACUGCUCAAAAUCUUUCAGAACUGGCUAGUUUUGUUCAAACUUGGUGUGAACCAUCCGGUCUGCACCGAGUCAACCCGGCUUGGAACCGGGCCCCGUCCCCCUUUUAUUCUUUUGUUAGAAGGUGCUGGGAAGGCCGCUUCUUCUCUGCUUCGUUUAGUGUCUUAAGGCCUAAACGGCUCUCUUUUCCCUCCAAUUUGCAAAAUCACACCAAUUUAGCACGAUUGAAGAAAGGUCCAAGCCUAAAUAAGGUGUGCUUUCUCUCUUUUAUCUCAUUUUCUUUCUUUAUUUAGAGACGGAUAGCUCGAAAAAAUAACUCGAAAUUUGCACAAUAAUAAGUGAUCAUGCCAAAAUUUUUGAUUUGAGCUUAAUUUUAUUAUAUGUUGUAAAUUUAUCGAUGAUCUACACAAUAACAUAAAAAAUUUUAAUUUUUAGAUUAUAUAUAAUUUUAAAAUUAAAAUAUAUUUUGAUUAAAAUAAAAUAUAACAAAUAAAUNNNNNNNNNNNNNNNNNNNNAAUAAUAAGUGAUCAUGCCAAAAUUUUUGAUUUGAGCUUAAUUUUAUUAUAUGUUGUAAAUUUAUCGAUGAUCUACACAAUAACAUAAAAAAUUUUAAUUUUUAGAUUAUAUAUAAUUUUUAAAAAUUAAAAAUAUAUUUUUGGAUUAAAAUAAAAAUAUAACAAAAUAAAAUAAAAUAAAUAUAAAAUCAGAAGCGUAUUUAGGGGCAUACAAACUACUUUCCAGCAAAAUUUGGUGUCUAUUUAUUCAAUAUUUAAUGUGAACAUGCGCAUAGUGGUCUAGGCCUAAAUUUAAAAAAAUUGAGAAAUAAGUAGCCUUUAAUGCAUGUCCACGGGUCUAGAAAAAUAUGUAGCAUCCAUUGCUGGAUUCUAUAUGAAUUUGAGCUGAAAUUAAUUUUUUAAAAUAUUUAUAUUUAAUUUUUUUAAUUUAAAAAUAAUUAAAAAUAUAUAAUUAGUACAAAAAUGAUGAAAAAUUAGUAGUACAUAUUAUAUAAUUCAGAAGUAUUUUUUGAAGUAGAAAACAUAUUUUUCUGAAUUUAUGACAUUUAAACAUAUUUUUAAAUUUUAAAAUUAUUAAAAAUAUAUAAAAUAUAUGAAAAAUUAUUAUGUAUUGAAUAAAUCAGAUGUAUAUUUGAGGUAAAAAAUUAUCUUCAUUGUAACGAAAUUUUGCUAUUUUUAAAUAAUGGAUAAAUUGACGUACUUGAUAAACCCGUAGGAAUGGAACCAUCAAAGAAAAAAACGAGCCAGAACAUGACAUUAGUUGGGAUCGUGGGCAAAUAUUCUCAGGUCGGCAUCAUUGCAAGUGUAAUUGGCGCAACACAAAAUUAAAGGGAGGAGGGGUAACCAGAUUGAAGCAAUACUUAGCUGGUUGUUACUCCAACGUAUAUGUGCAGAAAAUAUCCAUAGGAGGUUUGACAGCUGAUGAAGAAGCACUUCGUUGAUUUCAGAGUAGCGAAGGAGAGGGUUUCCAAGAAGAAGACGGAGGUGGACCUCCGAGCGGCAGAGCCACCUUUCUAUUACUUUAGGAAGACAGUGGAGGCGUCCGCUCUAGAUGACGAGGGAGUAUAGAUCCAGACUGUCAUGUAGGCAAGCCUGAAUGAUUAAUGGCAACAGGAUAGGUGGCCAAGCAUAGGGCUCGAUUUGGGCUCUCAUACUACGAGUGCAGCAGAUCCAGAGUUCAGGAGGACUUCAGUCAGAAAGGCCGUCAGUAGAGGCGGUAGCCUUAUUGCAUCUAUGCUAAGGAUUUUUGGUAGCAAAAAGAGGUCAUUCAGAAAAAUUCCAUCUAGAGCAGCCAUAUAUGAUUUAGAUCAACAUGCCUUUCCUAAUAGGAAUUUGAAGUAGCAGAGGAUUGACGCAAUGUUGAAGAAGGAUAAGAAGAAUGAUAUGUGGCGAGCUAUUGGAUCUUGGUUUCACUUCAGCAACAUCCCAGCGAAUGUGGCAGACAAUAUGUAUUAUAGGUUUGUCAUUUUUCUCAUAUAGGUUUUUGAUGCUAGUGUAGAUCCUCCAGGACAUCUAUGGUGAGUUUCUUGACAAUAAUAAGGAGCUAAAGAAGUGGAUUGCCUCAUACAAGAGCAACUGGUGUAUAUAUGGACUGAUGGUGAUAUGUGAUGGUUGGAUCGGUCCUACCAGGCGGAUCAUUACAAGAGCAACUUCUUGACAUAUUGUGAUACGAAGAUUUUCUUCCACAAGUCGAUUGAUGCUUCCAAUCAGGUGCACGACACCACGUACAUCCUCAAAUUGAUAAAGAAGGUGAUUAAUCACAUAGGAGAGGAGAAUGUCGUGCAGAUUAUUACUGAUAAUAGGCCACAAUAUAAGGCCAUUGAAAAAAUUUUGGAGCGACUGACAUAUUUUCUGGACCGCAUGUGCUAAACAUUGUAUUGAUUUCAUGUUGAUGGAAAUUGCGAAGAUUCAUGGGGUGCAGCAAACAGUGAAGAUAGCCCAAACUAUCACUAGAUAUAUUUAUAACCAUACAUAAAUUCUUUCACUUAUGAGAAGGUAUGCAGAGGAAGAGAUCUUGAGACUAGAAGUCACGGUUUUUUACGAACUAUGUUUCACUUGAUAGCCUUCUAGAGAGGAAAGCAAACCCUACAUCGGAUGUUUGUCAGUCCGGAGAGGCAGAAAAGUAGAUAUGCAAGGGCCGACACUGAAUGAAGCAUUGUCAAGGACUUAGUGACGAGACAGACAUUCUGGCAGCGGGCUAUUACGAUAGUAAAGGCUAUCUGACCAUUAUAUGAAAUGCUUCAGACUGCGGAUAGCAAAUGGUACCUCCAGAUGGGCUCCUUGUAUCAUAUGAUGGAGAGGGCAAAGAUUCAGAUCAAGAAGGCAAAUCCAACAUAUGCCUAGGAGUACAUCGACAUCAUUGAAUGGCGGUGGGACUAUCAGAUGGAUAAAAACUUGCAUCUAACAAGUAAACAAGAACAUUAAAAAUUAGAUUGCUCCUAUACUUGUAUAAUUUUACUAAGACAAUAACGAACUCUAUCUGCACAAUACUACCUGAACCCAAGGUUUCAAUAUACCGUAGCUGGAAUCGAUAUGAAUGACGAGCUUCUAGCCGCUCUGCGUAAUAUAAUUUAUAAGAUGGAGCUUGAUUUGGAAGUUGCGGCCCUAUAUCUAGAAAAGGUAAGUUAAUAAGUGAUAUGCAUAAGUUAAUUGGUAUCUUCAAUUAUUAACAUAUUACCACAUUGUUCUUUUUUAUAAAACAAAAUAUUUAGAGAGGGCACUGAUAAUUUUGGAGUCUCAGCAGCUGUCGUAAAAAAAGUAUGAAUCCAGAUAUAUUACACAUCGGGAGGACAUUUACCUGACGUUGGAUAGUUACUAAUAUGAUACUAUCUUAUAUAUAAUUUUUUUAAUAUUUUUGCAGCUGAAUGGUGGAUUUAUUUUGGUUUAUCCGCAAAAAAUCUUAAGUGGCUGGCUAUUCGGAUUCUCUUCUAAACGGUCUCUUCGAGUGGCUGUGAGCAUAACUGGUCCACUUUCGCUCUCAUCCAUAGCAAGCAAAGGAACCGUUUGACACAGAAGCGCCUCAAUGAUCUUGUAUAUGUUUACUACAAUCUGAGGUUGAGACUAAAGUGCAUUCAGGAGGAAGUAGAGCUAAACUAUACAAAUCUGAUAAAUAGUGCUUUCGUUGAUGAUGAGGAUGAUCCUAUGAUUGGAGGGCUUAUGGGCCAGUAGCAGGGGCCGGAGUUUGAUGAGCGAGGAUCGCUUCCAGGACCAGCCAGUUUCGUAGCCAGCUAGGGUCGAUGCAGGACAAUGGAUAGAGAGCAAUAUUCUACGCAUCCUUCUAGCUGAUCAGCCACAUCCAUGGAAAAGCUGGUCACCGCAUGACUUCUUGUCUGAGACAUACUUUUAGAAUUAUGAUCGAGAGAUGCUUAGACAAAGCUACUACGCUAUCCAAUCAACUCGGUCAGGAGGGUGAUAUACAUUCUUCCAACAUAACCAGACAGAGGGGCACGAAGAAUAAGUGGGCAAUGAGUGGCACAAAAGGUAAGAAGGCAGCGAGUGGCACAAAAGGUAAAUAGGCAGCAAGUGGCACGAAGGGUACGAAAGCUGCCCAGCACCCCAAAAAAGGAAACAAAAAGCACAUGUAGCCUCAAUGAAGAGUGUGGAGGAGCCAGUUCACUCAGAUUUAGAUAUCAUGAGCAGUAGUUCUAGUGGUCAUGAAUCUGCUGGCCAGAGAGAGUGGAGGAUAUGAGACCACUAUUUAUAAGUCACAGUCGCAAGGUUGUCUUCAAUUCAGCGAUGAGUUCUAGUUUACGCAAGCUAUGCAGGAUAAGGAUCAUGGUACACGAUAUGGUGGAGCCCGCGAGAAUACGAUUGUAUAUAAAAGACGGGCUCUUCGAGAUCAUCCAGGAGAAUAUAAUGCAGCUGCAGAUAACCUCGCACGUGGAGUAGGAUCCAUAGACUUAUCAGGUUCCGAGUCGUAUACUAGAUUCUAUUAUCCGCAGCCACAAGCAGCUUAUGAUUCAUACAGAUAUGGAUAUGGAUAUGGUGCGUCUGAGGCAUCUUCCCGUGGCUUCUAUCUUGUAUAGCUCAGAGCAUCUUACAUGUCGGAUUUUGCUGCGGGCUUAUUCGGAUGAGCUCCUUUAAAGUCAUUUUAUCAGCUAUUUUAUCAGUUAGAGGACACAUUUCAGAGCCAGAGCUUUAGAGAGAGAUCCGAGAGUGCUUAUAAUUUGGAGCGUGUUUUUUAUGGAAUGAACAUACAAGACUACAAUGCCGCUUGGUUAAAGAAGUGGGCUGAUAUGCCUCCUGACUAUGCUAAUGAUUCAGAUAUCUAUGAGAGGCAUCACCAUUCGAUGAGAUUUUAGAAAUCGGUAUGUAUGUUGUACUUUAAAUAUAUGUAAUUGAUUAUAUUAUUUUAUACUUUUCAUCUUAUUACUUGAUUUGAGAAUAUUUCAUGUUGCUUCUUGUAGUAUGCAACAUCUCACUAAUCAUUUUAUGUUUUGUAUCAUUUUAAAACAACAAGAUGCAUCAUUUAGGUUAAAAACAUCAAAAUAACAUCAAAAAAUAUCAAAUUAGAUUUAAAAUUAUUGAAAAAGUUGAAAAAGAUUGAUUACCAAUUAACUGAACUUGGAACGCCCAAGUGUAUCGUAUGUUGGUACGAUACUGAAUUGGUGUUGUAUCAAUCGGUACAGGUCUCAGUACCGGUUCAAUGCACCUGGAUCAUCACGGCACAUGAAGUAACCCACGACAACUUACGACUAGCUAAAAGCCAGGCUAUCCUCAUACAAAAAAGCAUAGUUGAAUAAAUAAUAAAACAAGCACCAUAUAUCUGCUAUAAUAGAGACUUUGAAGAAUCUAUCAAUCUGUGCACUUAUUUAACUGAAAGAAACAAUAAAAACUAGCAUCAUAUAAUUAUUACAGUAGAGACUUCGAAGUGUCCAUCAAUCUAUACUCUCCUAUAACUUAAUAAAUCAUAAAACCCAACAUCAUAUUACAGCUAUAAUAGAGAUUUUGAAGAAUUCAUUAAUCCAUUAAUCCCAUUAUAAAGUUGAAAUCAUUGCUUGUAUACCAAUUCACCAUAGCUGAUCAGGAAAGAAAGAUCUUGAAAUCAUAAACGACAUGAAUUGGGGCAAAAAGAACUUUAUGCUAACCAAAAGAGGUAUUUUGCUCAAUAACGAUUGUUAUCGUUCAGAUCUGGCUAUUGUUUUUAAGAUUUCCCUUUCUUGGCCUUGCCACAGCUGGUCGAAGAGGCCACAAGUUCAAGAGCAAUCUAAAUAGAAAUCCAAAUCAAAGAAGCAACAAAUUAAGAUCGGAUCAAAGAGAAAAUUAAUUAAAAAUUCAACAAAAUCACUCAAUUAAUUGAUGGUAAACAAAAUUAAGACAAAUACUUAGAGUGAUUGGAGGAAAAUAGAAUCAAUAAGGGAAAAAACGGUAAAAAAGAAAGCGAAAAUCAAUACCCAUGAUCUAGACCUUGGAGAGGUGGCACAAAGCCUCUGAGCCCUAGAAAUGGAGAAGACUGAGGCCGAAACUGCUCGGAUUGGAGAUUGGGAUGGGGAAAUGGGGACAGGAAGGGGGUUUUAGGGAUUGAUGGGCGAUAUGAUUUGGAGAAGCGGGUGUGAGGGUUUUGGUCAUUCGAGUGGGAGGAGAGCGGGCGCAAGGAGAUCCACCGCAACCGGAUCUUCUAGGGUUUCUCUUGUGUGAGAAGGGGCUUUUGAACACUACUGAGAUGGGACAUGUGGCGUGUGGGGCAUGUGGGGGUAGGAUGGGUUUUUUGGAAAAUCAAUAAAUCAUAAGGAUAUUUGGAAAAUAAAUAUUUUAAUAGUAGAAUGACAUUUGAAUCCUUGGGGGAGAGUCGGAAUUGGAUUUUGGGGGCUUGGGGCAUUUCCAUUUUCCUUCAGCAUUGGAAUCGAAAUAGGACUCUCCCCCAACCAAAUGGCUGGAAUAGGAGUCACUCAUUCCCAUUGCCACUCCAGACCUCAACUCCCCCCAACCAAACAUGCUCGUAUUUUGUUCAUAGAAAAUAUAAAAAGACAUCAUACUCAUAAUAGUGGUUGUUAACUAGACUAACCCAAAUCCUAUAGGAUUUAUGAUCCUAGGGAUAAAAUAUCCGUCGUAGAUCCUGUGGACUGUGUGGAUGGCUGAACCUCAAGAUUAGAAGGCAAUGGGGAGUUGACGAUCUUGCAGGAAAAUAAAGUCCUCAAGUGGACACUAUUGAUAAUUUUGCGAUCAUUAGGCUCCCAUUCUUGGCCCCUUUCUCGUAUCUAGGGUACUCAGCGCCUAAGUCUUCGACCAUUGCCUCUUGUUGCUACCUCUAACCUUUUAUUAUUGCCAUCUUUGGCCACCUCUUCCGACCUCCAACCACCACCUCCAAUCUUUGAUCUUGGGAUCUGGACAAAGUAAGCCCGCACCCCUCUCUCUCUCUUUCUCACCUCGACUGCUGUUCAAACCCUUCUCCUUUGCCUUCCCCAACCCCUCGCCCACCUUAGUUGGCCUUCGGCAAAGGCCCUUCCACCUCUUCGUUUUCUCCUCUCUCGAUCUUGAAGUUUGUUUUGCUUGUGUUGCCAAGGGGAGGAAUCAGUAAGCAAACAUGAUGGGUUUAAAAGUUCAAUAUCUAUGAUAAACAAAAGAAAAUAUGUAUAUUAUUUGUUUCAUGAUAUUUAUCAUUGUAGACUCCAAAGAAGCCUAUUUUACAUGUAGCAAAAUAAAGAAGCCUAUCUUACAUGGAGGGUUGUAUGCAUGUCCCUAUGUAGGUAGAUACAUAGAUGUAAGUUAGAAUGCUUGUUUUUCUCUAUGCUUGCCAAUUCUUUGAUGAAAUGUCUCAAUUGGAUGCAUCUCUUUGGAGUCAAAUAAUAGUUGUAUUAGUAACAAUGGGAUCAUAAGCAAGUUAGAAGGUGUAUACUGAAAUAGUCAAGAUAAUCUUAGAAUGUACAAUUAUAUUUUCUUGUGAUGUUGGCUUAGACAUCCUGAUUGUUGUUUUAAAAAUUUUAGAUUUUAGUAGAUGCACAUUCAGUGUAUGAUAUGAAAUGAGUCAAAGAUUCUUGAACAUCCAUCUAAUUAGAAAAAUUUGGACCUUGGAGUUUGUUUGGCUUGUGGCUUUACCAUUUGAGACAUAUGCAUAAUUGAUGUUUAUAGAAUGCUAAUCUAGAAAUUAAAUAGAGCCCUAGCUCCACUGCUAUGUACUGCUACAGACCAAAGUCCUAGCUUUGUUUCUACAUGUAAUUGUGCAUGAAUUACCUCUCAGCUGAAUGUUAGCUCCCCACCCCCCCCCACAAAACAAAAAAAAAUAAAUCCUGCAAGGAUUCCAGUUGGAUUCAUGUGAUCAUAAAUUGCAGUGAUUUAUACAAUGUUAUUAUAUAUUUGUUAUGUUGCACAUGCUAAUGCACAUGUGUCCAAUGAAAAGUAAUGAUUCAUGAAUAUGUAAUAUUUAAUUAUUGAAAAUGUAAAAUAUCACUAAUUAUUUAAAAAUUAGUUUAGUACUGAAAAUCUUAAUUUUGAAAUCGUAAACUCUUUGUAAUAUAUCAGGGUCAUUGUUCUGCUUUAAGAGUCCAUGAUGUUUGUCUAUUGUCUAGUCCAGGAACCAUUUGCUUACAAUUUAUAUCUUUAGACAUGUAGCUUAACUGUAUCCACUAUAACUUUUAAAAAAUUUUACAUGAACAUUCCAAAUACCCCAUGUCAAGCACCAGAUUUAACAAAUAGUAGCUGGGAUGACUGUAGUAGAUAUGAAUCCACUAUUCUAGUUGUGAAGGCAACCAAUGGUUCUCUUUCCAUGUAUUUUUAAUAUCCAGUUGUAGAGCAGAGGCCUCAAAACUAGAUGUUGGAUCUCCACUUUCUUUAUACAGCUCUUUGUUGUAGUAGUCUGGUUAGGCACCUCCAAGCAUUCAAUUAUUGAUUCAACUUUCAGGAUAGUUAAAGCCUAAAGUUUAAUGUCAACUUCUCGGGAUACUCAAUGUGCUUUCGUGGCUAUUAAGUACCGUUGAAAUCUAGGUCUAGCUCGGAUGAGUUGAACAAUUGAAAAUAAAAAAGAACCCAUGCUUGAUCCAUUUAUUGUAAGACUGGAUGGUCAUGCUGAGGAAGGAAAUCACCAUCGGUUCCACUAAGGAGCCCCUUAUCACUGGAUCUGUGGUGGAGGAGCCCUUCCUUUCUAGGUUCAUGGAGGAUAAGGCCAUGGACAUAAGAAGAUCUGUGACGGAAGCGCUUGUGAGCACCAACUCCAUGGCGGAGAGCUCAUCAUUGUGAAAAUCAUAAUGGAAGAGCCCAUGUUUUUUGGAUUUGCAGCAGAGGAACCUGUGGUUGCUUGAUCCAUAGUGAAGCUUGUGUCUGGAUCUUAUGGCUUUAGAGGUACCUCACCUUAGAUCUGAUGGAAUGGGGGUGAUGCCAUGAUCCCCAUGUCUUCUCUCUUCUUCUAGUUUUUGGUGAGACAUAAAGAGAGAGAGUGAGAGAGAGAAGGCGUAAGGGAAGGGGUUGGUCUGGCAUCUAGAGAAGUCCAGAAGAUGAAGGGGAAAGGGGAUCAUAGCAUCAUGGAGGAUAUUUGAGAACUAAGUCGAGAACAUGCAAUUAUGUAGGUGGACAGUUGACCCACCAUUGAAUUGUGGUCGAACCAGAAACCCAUGACUUGGCUAGCCUUGUAGGUUUGCUUGGAUCAAUGGGUUGAGAAUAUUUGUUUUCCAAUUUCGAUAUGGAGGAGCAUCUUAGAUACAAUAACAGGUACAUGAGUUGCAUCUAUGGUGUCAAUACAAUCCUGAAAUAACAGAUAAUAGAAUAAUAAAAAUAAUAUACUAAUUUGAGAAAAUAUAUAAAAAUGUUAUAUUUGUCAUUAUAAUGCUAUGUGCUAUACCUUGAAAUAGGGUCAAAAUUGAGGAUUAUUAUUCAUUUUUGGACAUGGUGGAUGUGUGACAUAAUCAUGUUCAAGUUCUGAAAUCGAUUAGGAGCUACUUGGAAGUGUCAAUGAGUGGUUUCACCACUAUAUUGAAAAAUUUCUUGCAAUGCUUGAUUACUUAUAUUUCUUGACAGUAUGUAAAUGAAUAUUAUGAGUUGCUCUUCCACUGUUACACCCUUGGAACGACUUAAAAGAUCUAUUUAUCGUAGAAGGUUUGCAACAUUUUGGAAAAUAUAUGGAUCCAUAUGAAAUUUGAACUUGCAACGAUCUUCAUGGCCUUCAAGAAUUUCUUUGAACUACAAAGCGCCAAUAAGAAUUGAAGUAUGGCUUAGCCUUUUUUCAUAAGUAGCAUAAAAAUAUGAUGUAAGAUGGAAUAGCAUCAUCCAAUCAUCUCAAUCUUUGCUCCACAAAACACCAGUAAAAAUUGAAUUAUGUCAUGACCUUUUUUUAUAAGCAGGAUAAAAAUUAUGAUGUAGGAUAGAAUAACAUCAUCCAAUCAUCUCCACUUUUCUCCUUGUUAACAUCCAUUGUUUGUCAUUUGAGUCCAUAAUGUAGAGUAGCGAGGAAUUUUUCUUUUUAUUUUUGUGAAAAAUGAGGAUAAAGGAAAUUAAAGAAAUAACUAAUCAUAUCCAAGGUCCAUAGUACCAGUAUUGGCACCCAUAUGGUUGACUGGCAGUAUGGUACGGUACGAUACUAUGGCAUGUCGUUCUGGCGCGUAUCGUCAAUGGAAAAUCUGAGAGGGAGGGGAGGAGAGAGAAAGAUUGGAGGGANNNNNNNNNNNNNNNNNNNNGAGCGGGAGAACGAGGGGCCCUCUAAAUUGUAACCCUAACCCUAAUCAAGAGAGAGAGGGGAGGGAGGGCAUACUGGAGAGAGAGCAUUAGCCUCUCGGACGGUGGAGGGGGUUGGGGUCACAAGCAUUGUGGGAUGGGGGGGCUCCAAACUAUAGCAUCAAACAGGAGGGGCCUCUUGAGUAGCGAAGGUGGGGGGUUGCAAGAGCCGUAGGGUGGGAGCGCUCCGAACCAUAGCAUCGGCGGCGGGGGGCGGGGGGAGGAUUUGGGCAUCAGGAGGAAGGAGGGAACAUCGGCCUCUCGAAUGGUGGAAGAGGGGGGUCACGAGCGUUGUGGGGUAAGGGGCUCCAAAUCGUAGCAUCGAGCAGGAGGAGAGAGGUGCCGGCCUCAAUCUUUCAAAUCGCCUCUCGAAUGCAAGUAGCUAAAGGCUUCUUGAGCAGCAUUUAAGCUAUCUCGUUUUAACUUGUUUAACCAUACUGAUAACCAACCAAUCCAAUUUGAUAUGCCCCAAAUCGGCCGUUACAGCACGGUUCGUUAAUCCCUAAUGAUAUCCUGCUAUGUUUGUUAGUCAUACAUGACGCAUGCCUUUCAGUGCCUAGGCACGCUUACCAUGAUGAGGUUAGAAGAGUGAAAUGGCAAUAUCUUAGGAUGAUAUCCUACUAUGUUUGUUAGUCAUACAUGACGCAUGCCUUUCAGUGCCUAGGCACGCUUACCAUGAUGUGGUUAGAAGAGUGAAAUGGCAAUAUCUUAGGUUAUGUGUACUUUAGGAAAUGAUAUAGCUUUUCAAUACUUAGUGGAUGAAACUUUAUUUUCCUAACCAUCAAUUUUGUUUGUUUGUUGAGUUUAUUUGACCCAAGGUUUAUCAUACCGUACCAAACCGAACGGUGCGGAUGUACCAUACCAUACCGGUUCGGUAUUGGUACAUAAUAUGGAGAGCAUAUCAAUACUUGGUACGUCGAACCGGCUCCGUAUUGUAUCGUAUUGAUACUGUGUUGGGGUGGCACUGGUACGGGGCUCGAUACCGAGACCGCAUACCUUGAUAUGUUCUCAACCAUCUUGGUACUAAUGUUGAGCUAUAUUAUUCUCCUAUAUAGUCCAUGCAUUAACCUUGGCAUCUAAAAUUAUGUCAAAUUGAGGCAUCUACCUGCUUCUACUUGCUGUGAACAUGGAAAAGGACAAAGAAGUAUAGAAUCAGAGAUGCCAAGUAGUUUGUCCCAGCAGGAUUUCAUGUGUAAUCUCAUAUGAUCAGAACCUGGAUCCUGUCAUGAGUUAUAUCCUAAGGAUAUAGAUCCUAAGUACCCAAGCACGCCCUUAAUUCUAUUCAUAUUAUGAUCUUGCAUCAAUCAAGAACUCCAAGAACACAUUAGGAACAGCAAAAAUAGUUAAAGAGAGGGCAAAUUGUUGGAGGCUGUCAUUCAGGGGAAAUCAAAUAUGGAUGGCUAUAGUAUAGAAGUAAUUUAUUGUGUAUGCUGCCUGGCACUUUAAUCCAUGAUCUACUGUUGAGUUAGCAUCAUGUGGGAAGCAAUGUAACCCAGACCAGAAAAAUGUGAUUCAAUUUGCCAAAUGGAACACUUGGACUUUAGUCAGUUGCACCUACCACACACCAACUCCCUGAAACUCCACUUGAGGCAUAACAUCAUCAUCAGGGAACCUUUUCUUUUAAGCAAUUUGUUGCACUGCUAACACCUUCUGUAAGUGCAACCACUAUCAUUUUUUCCAUCUGCAACUAGAAGCUUCUCUUUCUCUGACUUCUUGUAGGAAAUAUUAUGAGAUAAAAAAUUAAGAUGAAUACAGGAUAUUAUAAAGAUGGAAAAAAGGUAACUACAUUUCAUAGUAUGCAUAGAUUAAUAUUUCUUUCUGCUGAAUCAUAGGUUAUAUUUUGUCCAAUAACAUAGGGGAGACUUUACAAUACCCAUUAUUUAUUUGUUCAGAAACUACCUCGCUAGGCAAGACAAUUGUAUAAACAUGGGUGUUGAAGGCUUGAAUAUUUUCUAUGUUCUUUUCGAAAAAUUUUCCAGUGGAGAGUUCAGUUUUCAUUUAAAGCAUAGUCCAAUCAGUCCAAUCUCGUGAAAUUAUCUCUGGAGACUUAUCCAUUCUCCUUUGGGUAAGAGUUUGUGUUAGUAUGGUUGUAAGCAGAAACUGGUUGAGUCCUACAAGGUGCUGUCUUUGCGACCUUGAGGAUUGAGGCAUUAGUUUCAGGUCCGGGAUAAUCGCAAUGUGAUUUAUGUUGCAUGUACACGCAUUCGUACAUACAUAAUAUGAUCUCUUUUCUUUUUGAUGUGCUUCCUUCUUAUAAUAAUUUUUUGUGCGUGUUCCUGUGCUUUCUCCUCUUUUACCUACCAAAAGACAGCGAGCAUUCAGAUCUUAAAGAAGGCUGGUCGACCCUCAGAGCGUCUGGUGAGCCAUGAGCACUGCCGGUUUAACAAGCCACAACAGCAUGAGUGUGUGCAUGUCCGCAAGAUAACAGAAGAUGCUGGAACGGAGGAUGCUGAAGCUGAUGCCGAGUAUGAUGGUGCUCUCAAGGAAGCCAUCCGGGGUGUGCAGGAUGCAGUGACCAGCAUAAAUGAGCACCUGGAGGAGGUCCGCUAUGAGAUUGAGGCACUCGAGUCGGAAUAGUACAUAAUAAACUUAAAUCCAUGUGUUUCUGGCUUCACUGAAUCUGGAAAUGGUUCGAUUAUAUUUAACUGCAUAUUUACAGAAGAACGUAGAGUAGGCUGGAUUUUCUUAAAAAUAAUUCUUAUGUGAUUAUAAGAUUAUUAGUUUUCUGCAAAUGAAAAUGGCUAUUGUAAGUUAAAACCUGUGCUUCUUCAAUAUCUAUCUGUUGUUUUUGAUAUCCAGAAGGUUCAAAUGCAACAGAGAAGAGAUGGAAAAUUGUGCAGAACGACCUUUAGAUUUAAAAAAGGAUGUGUUAUACAGAGGUCUUUGGUUCACUGAAGGAUUUAUGACCAUUUUCAUUAUCCAGAACUAACCCUUGUUAGUAGACAGCUAGAUGGCUUUGCAAAGGAAACAUUUCCUUCUGAGGAAUGUGGAACUAAUAAUGUCUCAAUCUUUUGAGCUUUAACCAGUAGUGGUUUAAUGUGCUACAAGACAUGUGAGAUAUGAAACUAUAGUUAGUACAACUAGUGUUAAGUUGGAGAUGGUGGUUCCUUUAGUAGACUUUUGUGUUUGUUAAACAAAAACAGAGAAUGGAUCCAGUAUAUUCUUGUACAAAUAUUGUGAUGAUAACCCAAGAAGGAAAAUUGGGUUUUUCAAAAAAAUUUACAAAAUUUUUUACAUUCUAGGGUCAACUCGACUUGCACUAGGGUCGACUCGUGCUUGGUAGGAGUCGACUCAUGGUUCUUCAGGGUUGACUCGUUCAUUUCAAAAACUUCCAGAAUUCUUUAAAAACUUCUCCAACUUUGAGAAUUAUUCUUCUAGGCUUCUCUAACUUUUAUUUUCCAAAUUUUAUCUUACAUGAAUAACAUAACACUUAACAUAUUUUAAAAUAAUUAUUAUCAUAAUAAUAAUAACAUGACUCAUUUAAUCAAGUAUAAAAUAGAGAUCACAUUCAAAGUUAAUAAACUAAUUAUAACUUUACUAAAGGUCAGAAACUGUACUUUGAAAUAUUAGUUACUUACCUCUUCUCACUUCAAAAUCUCACUUCAGUUAGGCGGGUUAGGUUCACUUGUUUUAAUACCAUUAAUUUUAUCAUUAUCUUAGAAGCCAAGCAAAGUUAAAAAUUAAAAUACUGUUCGGGAUACGGCCUUAUGCCCAAAUCAGAGUGGAGGAAAAGAAAAGUCGAUCUGGCAAUAGUGCCCAACUUUUAGGUCGGUCCAAACAAUGUGAACUAAAUUGAUCAAGUUAAGCCAUGAUCCGAGUAACUCAAUAAAGGUCAAUAGUAACCAAAUUCUAACAAGGCUGGGGUAUUGAGUCGGUAUGCUCCUCAAGUAAUGAGGUGGUGCGGGGCCUCCAUGCUGGGUCAACUUGGAUCGAGCAAAAAGAGUCAUGGCUUUGAACUAAGAUCUCUGGAUCUUGCUUAGAGAGAGAGAUACUCGAUCUAAGGCUAGUUGGGCUUUUGAACAUGAUCCACUUAGUUUAGGUCCAAUCAGAUCUAGAUCAAUCGAUGUAUCUAGUCAACAAGUCAAGUAGAGAGAGAAAAAGAGGGUCGCCCCCUUUUGUUUAACAUAAUGAAUUAAUAGAAAAAAUAGGAAGAGUAGAAGAAAUAAGAAGAAAGCGGUGGAUACGAAGAGGAGGAAGAGAAUGAAGAGAGAAGAGAAGAGAAGAGACCAGGAUGAUGGUGGCCAGGCCAUGGCGGCAGAGUCAGCAGCCAGCCAAGAGCAGCUGGCGGUUGUAGCAACCAGCGAGAAAGGACCGAGCACGAGGGAGAACGGUGAAGCCUCAUUUUGGCCCAAAAAUAGGGGAAUGGCUAAGGCUAUAAAUGGGUCGGAUUAACCCAUGACCUGACCAUCUUAGACCCGAUCAAACCUGAUUUAAAGGACCCAUGGAGCCAGGUUGGGUUCUAAAAUUAGACCCAUUCUAUUUUAGGGGUCGGGUCUGAGUUGACUAAAUUCUGACCCAACCCGAUCCGACUCAUUUGAUUUUUGAGGCAAUUUUGGAUUUUUUACUCUAUGACCCGACCCUUUUAAUUUUUCUUUCAAUUUUGUAAAAUUUUCCUUGUUACUUUCAUAAAAUGGAGGAUACUGGGGGAUAAGCAUACUUAGAGUUCUAUUGCCUUUGGUAUGUUCUCUCUCUCACUAUAUGUGCCCACUUCAUUUUUAUGGAUAUUGUGGGAGAUGUUGAGUCUUUUUCUUUUGAUUCUCAUGAGACUAUAUAGACAUUGGUGUCAUGUUUGGGGAAGAGAAUAAGUUCAACAAUAACGAUCAAGAGAUCAAUUUCUACAAAUCAAUUGGGAGAAUCUUUUCCAAGAGUAGCCAGUUUGGAAUGGCAUUUUAAAUAGUGUGGGAAAUUUUCAAAAUAUUAUUAACAUUCGCACCCUAAGCAUUGACAUCCUUCUGGCCUCUGUCUCUUAAAAUUUCUAUAAGUAAUGGAUAUCAUGAAUCGCUAUAUUUGAAUUACUAUCAUUCAUAACACACCCAAAACUUCAUUUCCAGUAGCCAAAGAGGAACAUUUGGUUCGAACACAAGAAAUUUAUGCAAAUAGUAAAAAUUAUUUUAACGGUGAAGUGAAGCAAUGCCUGAACUUGGUGUCAGUAAACAGUUUGCUGAGUCAGAGAUAUAUCUUAACACUGCAAUGAAAAAUAAUUUUGCAACCCAAUUGAAAGUUUUCUCUAGGCUUACCAUACAAGCACUACAAGAUAGAGAAUUUCAUAGUUGACUCUAAUUCACUGGCUUAUUGGUUUAGGUUUCAGUGGAGUUUGGAUUUGUUAAUUGUACAUGAAUUUUUAUAGCGCAUUACGCAUAAAUACUGAAAUAUACUUCAUAUUUAUUUUGUAAAGUUGAAUGGGGUUCGGAUCCGACCCGAAACGGACCCAAAUUUUUUGGGUUGCGAUUGAGUUAUAUAUAGACCCGACCUGACUUGAUGACCCGUUGGGUUAAAAAUUGUAGCUGUAGACCCAACUCGAUCUUCUAUUGGAUUAGGUUUGGGUCCAAACUUAGGAUCCGAAUAAGAAACCGGGUUAGGUCAGGGUCACUCAUGACCCAGUUCGACCUAAUCCAUUUACACCCCUAAGAAUGGCUCAACAUAAAGAAUAAUGGAAGAGGAAGAGGAAAUGAAACUCACUGGUGUGUGUCGUAGAUAGUGGAUCUCGAGCGAGGACAGCUGGUUCCAACAGUUUUGUGGCAACGACGCUCAGAAUAGGAGAAAAAAAAAGAAGAACAUGGCAGUUGGGGAAGCUAGAGAGAAAGAGGAGAUCUCAAGCAACCGUGGUCGAUCAUGGUGGCACGGCGGCCACUGGAGACUGGGGAGAAAUAGAAAGAAGGCUCGGUGAUGGAUCAAGUGUAGGGGAAGGAGGGAUCUAUAGAGGAUUUUGGAUGGGGUUAGCUUGGCACUCGUUGCACCUACCCACAAUCAUCGUGGCGGUUGUGUGUGACCCAAAAGUCGGCAGCCGUUUGAACGGCCCAUGGAGUCGUCACUAGCCACGACUCCACGGCCUUAUCGUCUCAAUGGCUGGUGGAUCGGGUAGGGGAGUGCAGUUCCUCUAUUGCAAUCCAUAAUUUUUUCCAAUUUUCAAAUUGAAGUCGGUGGGUCUUGCCGACUUCAAUUCCAGAUAGGCCCAUAUGGGCCAGUUCUCACAUUUUUCAUAGAAAGAACUUGAAAAGAAAUGGAGCAACGGCUACGCUGAGGCAAGGCGAUAAGGACACCUUGUUUGCACAUCGAAGCCGGAAAAGCGGGAUACGUGGGCUUCUUCAGCUUUUGUCGAGGAGGCCUCGAUGCACAGGUGGAUGCCACCGAGGUGAUGGCAUAUAUUCAUGGGAAAGAGCCCAUGGAAUAGGCUGCUUUGAGGAAGGAUACUUGGGCCAAACUACUUUAUGGCAACUCUCCUUGUUUGGGAGGUUUAUGGGGCAUACUUUGCUUAUACCUGCUGUCAGAAGCUCUGCUGGUAGUGGCCGGUGACUGAGAACUACUUUGUACAAAUGGAAGAGGGGUUUUCUGUGCUUGAAUUCAGUCUCAAAUCUGAUGUGCUUAGUUUGCUAACAGAGGGACCACCAGUAGUGAAUGGGCAGUACUAAAUCUAAUCCAGUGGCAUUCUGGUUUCUGAUCUUGUGCCGAUGCCUGUGAGGUUGCUCAGGUGUGGAUCCAGAUGUCGCGUGUGUUAGCAAUGAGAAACACAAAUUCUAGAGAUUGAGGAUUGACUGGCAUGCCAGAUAGAUCAGGCAAUCAAUGUAGAUGUAGAUGAUCAGGAUAAAUUGACUUGGAGAAAUUGAAUGACAAGAAGAAUGGAUACAAGAAUGCAGAAAGAAAAUAUAGAUUAAUUUAAAGACAAGUAAGAAUUAUAACCUAAACUAGAAAAGAUCGAUGCAAGAAAGAAAGAUAAAAAAAAGAUAUAUGCGCAAAAUAAGUAUUUUAUGAGGGUAUAUAUGCAUGUAAUUAGCAUCUUUGUUAAGGUAUUCAUAUAAUUUUAUAUAUUUACAAGGAUAUAUAUGUAAAAAAAUCCUAAAUUAUAUUUAAGUUUAUCAACCAUAUUUGUCAAUUAUAAUAUUAGUCAAUUAUAUGAAUAUAUUAAACUUAGUGACAGAGGAUAGGCAUGGUGAUUAUUAAGCACUUAGUCCUCUGUAAAUCAAAGAUUAAAGGCAUGAAAAAUGAUUGCGUGAAAGAUAAUAAGAGGGGAAGAAGCAACAACACAAAAAACAGUUAUCAUUGAGUAUUCAUUUAUAGACAAUAAGAUUGAAAGAAGCAAUAAGAAGCAGCAGUCAUCACAACAAAACAAACAACAAUUAUUAUUUAAAUACUCAUAAUUCACUCAUGAAUAGUUAUAUUGCAUGAUUGAGUAGGUGGUGAUUUUUCUAACAAAACAUAAAUGACUUCCGGAACCAGGAGCAACUGGAUUCCUUAAAUUUCCCUUUGGAGAAUUUUGUGAUAGCGAUUCCAUGCACACACUGCAAGGAAAAGGCGGUUUGCCGGCCAUCUCUUGCCUAUAUUAGGGGUACGCAUCAUUAAUUGAGUGCUCACACAAUAAGAUCACGAUAUUUAUAAUAAGCAUCGAUGCUUAACGUUGCUUAUAAAUGUUGUCAGAUGCCAUCCACUACCACUCGAUGUUCUUUAGUAGGCAUCUCGAGAAGCCAUGCAAAAAAUGACGCUAAUAAGCACCAUCAAAAGCCAUCCACCACAAGUCGACGUUUUUGGGUAAGCAUGAUCGAACACCAGUAAAAGAUGAUACGAAGUGAGCCAUAUUAUUUCCAACCAAUCUCUUUCUCUAACAAUCCAACAGUACCCUAAUUUUCAGAUUCCUAAUUCUAGUGCUCUGCCGCCACCGCACGCCGAGCUCCUCUUCCUCCCCCGAGUUCUUCCGCCAAAGAACAGUGCUCCUCUGUCGGUAGCCUCAUGACGGUUUUAAAAAGCAUCAUCAUGUAGCGACAUUUAAAAGCGUUGCUAGCUUAAAAUGAUGCCACAAACGAAAAAGUGUUUUUUUUUUGUCUUUUUUUGCACUUGCAAACAUGAUGCUUCUUUGACGCUUGUUAUAGCGUCGGGACGUGCAAUGCUCAUAAGCAUCGGUAGAUGGCUUAAAAAAUGCUGGAAAUGCUAAUUUUUGCUGCAGUGAUAUUUUCAUUGAGGUAUUCAUGCAUUGGAUAUUGCUUGUAUAGUCACUGUCAAAUCAUAUCCAAUGUAGCACCUGUGUUCGUUGGUACAACCAAUUUGCAGAGCUAGACAAUUUGUCAUGCAUAUUUGCAGUCAUACCAUUGCAAUAUUUUAGCCUGCUAACUUCCAUAGAAUUUGAUCAGGUUGGUGUACUUAUUGAAGAGCCAUUCCUAAUGCUUGCACCCCAUUAACUGUGUAAACAGCUUGAUGACAGCAUCAGAGAGAACCAGGUUCACGGGAGACUUCUUGCCAAAAUGAACGGCCAGUCUGAUGGACAUUCUAUUCGUAGGUGGACUAGCCCUAAAGCUAAAUAGGGAUGCAGGGAUGAUAACUGAACUAAUAUUGGAAUAUCUGAAAUCAUUUAAGGGGAUCAUCACAGGAAAGGAAGUGUACGUACCUACCAAGGAUACAUGAAGCCUGCAUAUAUGGGUCCAACGAUGAGAAACUGGGUCGUUAAGGCAAGCAUUAUCUAAGGAACUAAGAUGUAAUUUGUACCAUACAGAGCAGUCCAUCUGGAAUAAAAGAACAAUAAUAAAGCUAUCAGAGGUAGAAAGAAAUGUUGGAUAGUUUGCUCUAAUGAUGUGAGAAUCAGUUUAUUAUGUAUUGGAUUAUUUCAAAAAUAUAAAAAUAUGUGGAUUAUUUAUGUCAUAACAAAAUACAAAUGCAUCAAACAAGACUGGGUUUGAUUUUAGCGUCCAAAAUAGAAUAUCCAUGGAUUGGACAAGCAUGGGUCCCAAACUACAACCCGACUAUCAAUUGGAUCAAUAUCAGAUCUCAAAAUAUGAGACUCAAUGGUCUAGUGCCUUACCUAGAUCAACCUUGGCUAGAAUCAUAUCUAGAUCUAGUACCCGCCCUACAGAUAAAAAAAAAAAAAUCGGACGUUUUUUAAUGUAUAUACCAAGGUAUGCCGUACCAGUACCAGUAGGCCUACCAGUCGCCUAUCAGACUGGUAUGAUACCGGUUCAGCAUGUCGGUACCAUUUUCGGUACUGGGCCCAUACCGAAAGAACCCAGCCAGAGCCGGAGAAGAAGAGAAGGAGAGAGCGAGCGGGGGAGGGAGACAAAAGGAGAGGCCUCCAUCGUCCGCGGAGGGCUGGCGGAGGCCGCACGGGGGGGAGGGGGGCGGCUAACGCCGCAGGGGCGCCCCCGCUCGUAGGAUCCGUAGCCCCCCCGCGGCCUCCGCGAGCCCCCUGCCGUGGGCAGCGGAGGCCUUUCCUUUUUUCCUCCCUCACCCACAUGCUCUCUCUUUCUCUUCUUCUUCUUCUCCGGCUCCGGUUGUGUUCUCUCGGUACAGCCUUGGUACUGUUUUCAACCCCCAUACAGUACCGGUCAGGGAUCGGACUGGUACGGUAUGUGCUGAAUCGACAGCAUACCAUGGUACAUACCAAUGCUUAUAAGCAUCGAUAUUUUUAUUGCCGACGCUUUCUAAAGCAUCGUAAAAGCAUCGGCAAUGUUAGCGUGAAAAUUUUAUUUGCCGAUGCUUUUAACAAGUGUCCACAAUAACAAACGCUUUACCAAUGCUUAUAAACAUCAGCCAUUGACGAUGCUUAUAAGCGUCGGUCUAUUUUCGAUGCUUAUAAGCAUCGGACCAUUGCCAAUGCUCAAAAGCGUCGGCCAUUUUCGAUGCUCAAAAGCAUCGGAAAUUUUGUUAUCGCCGACGCUUUUAAGUGUCGCAAUACUUAUUCUAAUGAUGCUUUAAAGCGUCAUUAGAGUUAUUUUUUUUAAAAAAAUUAUUUUAAAAAAAAUUUAAACUCUAUAUACAUUAUUUUUACCAAAUAAAAUAUAUAACAAAAAUCACAUUCAUAAUAAAAGUCACAUGUCACAAUCAAACGAAUCAUUCAAAUAUUUAUACUUCAAUAAUUUUUGGAGCGAGAGAAGAACUAUUUACACAUUUUUAAUAUAGACAUAAAAUCUGUCUAUUUAUAUUAGAUUUUUCAGAAGUAAAUUUAAUAAAAUUCUGAACCCCAUUCAAAUAUUCUUUGCUGGAUCUUGACUUAUUUAACCAACUUUUGCCUAUUAUAUUAGAAUAAUGAUUGAAUUACAACUUAUCUAAAAUAAAUAAAUAAAAUUAGAUACUAAGUGAAAAGUUGUCUGAAGCAAUCUAGCAAAAUCAACAUAUAUAGAAAGUAAAACCAAUCGAGCAAAAUGGUAAUAUAAGAUAAUUUUUUAUGUUGCUCAAUGCCUUGCUACCAAAAACUGAUAAGGAAAAAGACAUUACAAUAACAUUCAUCUCAUACAACACACUUAUGUAUGAUGAGUCAAAAUAAAUCGAAAGGUACCCCACCAAUCUAGACAACUCAUUCAGCAAAAAAAAUAUAGCAAAACUUUUGCUUAAAGUUCAAAUAGUCUGUUACAUUAUGAUAAAUAUGACUGUAAAAAACAUGACACACUUUACAAACAGUGUUAUCAUUUCAACAAAGUAUUAUACGAUAAUCUUAACCGCUAUUAUCUUUUGCACAUUUUGUAUAGUCAACAUCAAUUUAUAUCGAUAUUCUAUGAUUAUAUACAACACUAGAUACAUUAGAAAAUUAAAUAUUGUAAAUUACGGCAAUGUUAAAUAAUGCUAUCAUUUUCUGCUGCUACCCAUUAUUUUGCAUUAUAAUAUUACGUAUCAAUGGAAUCCGUAGCUAGGUUUUCUAAAAUAAUAGACCAAAUUAAAGUAGUGCUUAAGAAGGAAAAUAUUCAAGAAAUAGAAACUUACCAGCAGAGAUCCGCAUCCGAGGAGACGCCAGAGGAUGGUGGUCGGCCGGAUCUUCGAAGAACACCGUGGAUGGGUGGUGGGUAUGGACAGCGAGGAGGAGGAGGAAGUGGGAGACGCUAAAGAGGGAGAGGGAGAGGAGGAGGGGGAAGUGGGAGGUGCCAAAGAGGGAGAGCACACUACAGUAAAAGCUUGAAAAGCCGACGCUAGGGGAAAGCGUCAGCAUUUUAUACUCCCGCGCCAAACUUUUUCGACACUCUUGGGGAGGGUGGGUAAUUUAAAGUAGUGGGCGACGCUUAAAAGCGUCGUCGUAGACCUAAAGCCAAACGACGCUUUAAAGCGUCGUUAUUUUUGGCCUAAGACGACGCGUACAAGUGUGGGUAAUUGAAACGCUAAAACGACGCUUAUAAGCAUCGCUGAAGCCCCCUCAAAACCCAACGGCCGACCCCGAGCCCGCAUACUUGCCCUAGCUACUCCCGAGCCCCCUCAUUCUCCUCUCCAGCACUGCCCUUGCCUUCGUCUCCGGCGCUGCCUUAGCCCCCAUCUUCCUCCUCUCCGGCACGGACCGUCCGGCUCCUACCUCCUCUCCUCCUCCCUCCUCUCCGGCGUCGACCGACCGACCCCAACGCGCUCCGCCCGAGGUAAUUUUCUCCUACUCCCUCCUCUCCCUCCGUCUCGCUUGUUCUCCUAUUCUCCUCCUCCUCUUCUUUGGGUGUUCGUGGGUUUUUUUCCUUCUUUAAUUUGUUCUCUUGCCCUCAAGCCUUGAUCGCUUCGCCUCCGCCCGAGGAUCUUCUCCUCCUCCCUCCUCUCCGGCGUCGACCGACCGGNNNNNNNNNNNNNNNNNNNNNNNNNNNNNNNNNNNNNNNNNNNNNNNNNNNNNNNNNNNNNNNNNNNNNNNNNNNNNNNNNNNNNNNNNNNNNNNNNNNNNNNNNNNNNNNNNNNNNNNNNNNNNNNNNNNNNNNNNNNNNNNNNNNNNNNNNNNNNNNNNNNNNNNNNNNNNNNNNNNNNNNNNNNNNNNNNNNNNNNNNNNNNNNNNNNNNNNNNNNNNNNNNNNNNNNNNNNNNNNNNNNNNNNNNNNNNNNNNNNNNNNNNNNNNNNNNNNNNNNNNNNNNNNNNNNNNNNNNNNNNNNNNNNNNNNNNNNNNNNNNNNNNNNNNNNNNNNNNNNNNNNNNNNNAAAAAAAAAGGCAAGCUGGCUGCAUAAGAUGGCAAGCUGGUUGGGAGAGAAAAGGGAAUGGAUUCAGGGGAGGAAAGCCAGCCCUCCUCUAUUUCAGGCCGUUACACCUUGUGUCUGCUUAGUGUUAGAAUGGCUUCAAACAAUGAAAACAAAGUAGCAAGAGAUGGAGAUAGGCCUCCUAAGCCAUGGUUCAAGUUGCCUAAAGGUUACAUACUUUAACAUGGCGCUAUCAAAUAUUAAUUGCAUCUUUUAAGGAAUGGAGGAUGCUGCAAGUGAGUAUGUUAGCUAUCAAAAUAGUGAACAACAUUGCACAGUUGGAAGUUUUGCAGCAACGGAUGAUAUAAGCAGCUUUCUUGCUGUUGCUAUUUUUCCUCUUCGCUUUGGGACGCGAGGGAGUUUUGAAGGACCUUCGGCAAAAAAGUAUUUAGCUGGGUCCUGUCUGAAGUGGACCUAUGGGUGUCUAAUACUGUCAUUUCAUAAAACUGGCUGAUUUGGGAUAUUACUGUUGUAUCUCCAAACAUGACUUCUGCGGACUAGGUUAUUUGAAAUUAAUGUUUCCACUCCUGCUUGAAUGUAGGGUAUGUUCGCUGAAUCUCCUUCAAAUCCUUAAAAAAAAAUCUCCUUGAUGGCGUCUUGUAUAAACUCUCAGGUUUUGUAAAGUUAUUUUAUUCUUUAGAAGUUAAGUUUUGCAAUUUAAUGUUGAUCAAUUACUUGUUCUCAAUUUCUCCUAUUUCAUUGCCUUAAUGUUCAAACAAGAAUCUUAUUUUAUUUUUAACAGAGGGUUCAGAGCUCAGGGGCAGUGCAAUUUGAGAAAUUUAUAUUAGAAAUAUGAUUUGAAUUGUUUAUGUUGUUCAUAGUAUUGAUGUGCUUUAUAUACAAGUUGAGCUCUCAGAUAGUAGAAUACAACAACAAAAUUUUAUAAUUAUAAAAAGAUACUAGGGACUAGAUAUAAUAUAAUACAAUAGCAAAAUUCUAUAAUUUGAUAUAAAUACUAAAUUUGAAUAUAACAAUUAGAUCCUAUGAUUUUUGGAGAUUGAUCUAAGCUGAUAUAUCAAGAUUGUGCAUACAAUAUGUGACAGUUAUGAUAUCCAAUAUCCUAUAUACUGUAAUAAGUGAGAUUGUGCAUAAUUAUGAGUUGUAAUACAAUUGACUAGAAGUCCUUUACUUCCUCCACCAUUACUCAAAAAAAGAAGAAGAAGCAAGAAACGUAUAAAUUAUAAAUUAUCUGAGAUAUGGCUAAAUGUAGUUAUAUACAUGCCAACUUAUUUUCUAUCUGAUCUGGUGCUGAUCUCUUGUAACAUAUGUGGUUGUCUAACAUCAUAUUGAAAAUGAUUUCAAGCGGCCAGAUUCUUUUUAUAGAUCUUUUGUUUUUGCUGGUGUUGUCAUUUGCUCUAAAAGGGAUUUGUAAUCCUCCCUCCUAGUCUUUUUGUAGCAUUAACUAUUCUUGCUUUCUCAAUCUGUGAAGGCCUUGUAUGCAUAAACUACUAUAUUUACGAUGGCUUUUUACAUCAUCUGCUGUGAAUUCUCUGUGAAAGUUACUGCUUUCUUCUGAAAAAUUCUGUGUCCUGGAGCUAGAAUGGACAGGGGAUCAUAAAUAGCUUUCCUUCGGGCAAAUAUCUCCCAGCUGGCCCCAAAGUGGGCUUUCCACUCUUCCUUCGUGGUGUAGUGCGGCAAGUAUUGCUUCAUUCUGAUACCUGCUUUCUUACAGAAGUCUAAAAUCUUAUCGUUCUGUUUCAGUGCAUGCUCUAAACUGUCAUGAUCUGAUAAAGACGGUGCCGAGGAAAGGAAUGCCACCAGGUAGAAGACUUCCUCAUCUGGAAUGACCGCUGAUGUUCUAUUGUCCCACCUGCAGCCAAAACAUACAGUUUAAACCAUUGGCCACUGAUGAUUUUAACAUGGUAUCACAACAGAGGUCUUGAGUUUGAACCCUGUCUCUGCACUCUUUAACCCCAUUAUUAAAAAUUUCACAUGUUGGGCUCACCCAUUAAAGAGAAGUCCGGCCACAUGUGAGGGGGAGUGUAAGAAAAUAUAAAAUAUAUAAAUAAAUCUAUCUCAUCCUAUCAGCUUAAGCUUUUGGGACAAGCGGUGAUUAUAACAUAUUAGGGGAUGACAGUGGGCAGGCAAAUUAAAUUACUUGGAUCUGUUAAGUGGAUACAGGAGUAUGGGACCAUUGCUGCUAUCAGUAAGAAUUUUGCCUAGGACUUCUUUAGCGAAUUCAUGGAUUCUGGUUCUUGGUAUGAGAAGAUUUAACCAUGGGUGUGGAACUUCCCACAAGCCUUGGGACCUCAACUUCACUUCAGAGACAUGUACUCUGUCCAAGAACUCCAUGUACGACACCUCCGACUGGAACAAAGUGGAUGGUAUGUACCGAAGUUUAGACAGAAGUGUUUCAACUUCCUGCAAUCAAAGAGGACAAUUUGAUUUUAGAAACCAUUCUUUCUUCUUUUUUUUUCUUGCACUCUCAUGCUUCAGCAAUCAUGGAGAUGAUGUUGGUUGGAGAGGGUCACCUGGUUCAUCAUCUCAGUCUCGUCGGGAUUGAAGUUUUUAGUCAUCUCAAGGCAGAACAGGAUCUUCCCGUCGGAGUUGAAUUGGCCGGCUUGAACAGGGUCCUUCGGGUUGAACGAAGAUCUCCAAUUGUUCAGAAGUCCUGUCCUGUUUAUUAUUACAAAGCCUUCGAUGUAGUCGAAAGUCUUCUCUUCUGAUAUUAGCAUUUCCUGGUCCUCAGUAAAGCUGGUGAAAUCCGAGUAUAAAACUCUUAUCCACUUCACCUGUGAGAAAUUCAUGGUAGCCUCGUUAGGAAUGAUUGCCAUUGCUCUGGUUGCUGCUAUCAUUAUACUAUCGAAACUGGAAAUAUAUCCUUUAUAUUACCAUCUUUGGGGCUGGUUCAAGUGCAAUUCUGGCCCUGGUGAUGAUUCCAAACUGACCUAAACCUCCAAGAACACCAAAGAAGAGGUCAGCAUUCUCCUUGGUAGAGCAGUUCGUUAUUUCUCCUGUUCCUGCACUCAAUACUAAGAGAAUCAAAUGGAAAGAUCUAAUGCUGUUACAUUGAACAACUUGUACUACUGCUCAUGAGAUGAAACCUGUUACAACUUGCAGCUGGUGGACGUUGCUGAUCUGCGGCCCAUGCCGGAAGGCCUGCCCACUGAUCCCAGCAUUCGACAGCGUGCCCCCGACGGUAAGGUGGAGGUAGUCAGUCCAGGAUUUCGGUGCGAGGCCAUGCUUAAGGCUCUCCAGUAGAACAUGGAUCCACAGUUCACCUCCGGAGGCAUCGACAUAUGGGAAAUCUCCGGCAUGCACCUGGGUCUCGGUUGCCCGAAGAUACUUCAUGUGGACGACAACACCCCCAGGCGCUUGAGCCUGGCCUUGCAGCGAAUGCCCAUGGCCUCGAGCUGCAACCGCGAGCUUGGAGCGCGGGCCCAUUUGAAAGACAUGCUUUACCGUGGCUGAGAUAUCGGCAACUGAUCGAGGAUAAAGGACUGCUGAUGGUAAGAAUUGGAAGCGGUUGCCGAAGUCUUUGGCGGCAUGGGAGAUAUUAUGGAAGCUGAGAUGGCCCUCGAGAGCUAGUGUUCUGAGGGAGGAAGGCACGUCAGGGUCAGAAACAUGCAUGGCGAUACCGCUGAGUACUAAGACCAUGAAGAGUUUAAGGAAGCCGACGUUCUGUUGUCUAUGGCAAUGCAUGGGUGAUGGUCUCAUGACUACUAAUGAUGGUAGCAAUUGGGUCGGAAGAGGAUGGGGGGAGGGGUGUGGGAAGAGCAGAGGAAACGAAGGGAAAGGUGUAUUUUAAAGGGAGAGGUAAGGGGGGGAGGGGUGUUUGCGGGGUUGGGUUAUUGGGUAGUGGUAUGGUCAACCAAUCUUCUUCUUGUGCGUGUGAUAGAAUCCGUAAGAGGACCGGCUACUUGGAUUGGGGGAGUGUUGAAGAUCUCUUUUUGAAACCUCCGCUUUCCGCUUUUUGUGUUCUGUUUUCAGGAAGAGAGAUGUUAGCUAAAGCAAAGGAGAUAGUGAUGCUUGUGCGAGGAGAAAUUAUAUCCUAUACCAGAUGAUGGUGCUAGUUUUAUGGAUCUUAUUUAUCAAGUGCUCAUCUUGAUGCAGCCAAAGAAAUAAAAUAUCUAUGAUGGAUAUGUUAUACCGCCACAUGGUGUAAGAUAUAAUUUUUUAUAUGUAUGUGUGUAUGCGUGUGAAAGAGAAAGAGAAAGAGAGAAGGAAACAGAAGGGCUUCUCCCACACGUUCUCAAGUUCCAAGUGCAAUCACCCAAGGGUCCAGAGGUUCUAGAAUUUUUACCAUGGCCUUAUCGGCCCCACCAGGAGCUAGUGGGGGAUUCCGAGAUCCUGGUGGUGGGGGUGGAGGCACAGGGAUGAUAUACCUUUCAAAAGAGAGAGGUCAGUUGAAUUAAAAAUGGUUGCUCUUCUGAAACUUGUGGUCCUUACUUCCCGGCCUAGGGACAAGCCUCAAUAAACAAAACCAUCUUCCCCCGGAGUCAAUAGGAACACAUUGAAGAAGGUCUCAUGAUUGGGCCAAGCGACUCCAAUGCAUCCAUGGUGUGACAUGUUGUGGUGGGGUGUGCAUGCAACAGUAGUCAAAGGUUAAACCACUAGCUGUUAACCCUAAUGCGGGGACAUAUGGGACCAUAAUCAUCAUUCUUGAGCUGUUAAAUCUUGACCUGGACUCGACCUGUUUAUUUGAAUGCAAAGACAUGGGUCUAUAUAUCUUUUUCUCUUUGAACUAUUUCCGUUCAGAUUUAAUUAGGUCCAACCAAAUUAUCCCAUCUGCUUUAAAACUAAAGCUAAAUUGCGUUGGAGACCAGCUAUAGGACCCUAGGAUAGACCGAUAAGCUGGCUCAGGUCAAAAUUAGGUAUCGGUGCCGGGCGGCUGACCCACUCGCACCCUAGCUAACUAGCUCUACUUCAGUAUGAAGUAUAAGCAGUGCUAAAGCUUUGUUUUUUUAUUUAGCAAUGCGAUGAUACCAUCAUGUAGCUAUGCAAAUGGCAAUCCUUUAUCAGGGAGUAGUUGAUGCCUGUACACUAGUUUUAGCCAACCGUGGCCUAACAUCCAGUUGUGUGCAAGUAACAAAGCUUAGAACCUCCCUUUGAUUAGUUUUUCAGCCUCUUUCUUCGUGUAUGCUUCCAUAACAACAAGCGUACGAGGAUUUUAUAGUGGGAUACGGUAUCCGGGUCUCUUUUUUUGCACCAAUGAUAGAGGGAAGAAGCCCACAGAUUGCAGAAAGGUCAAAAAAGAUGUGUCACAUUUUUCUCAUGCUAGCUCGAUGGGGCUAUUAAGCCUUUUUUGUGGGGCAGAAAGAGAAACUUGAAGUCAUCUCUAUUUAAAAAAAACUUGCGUUUCCUUUUGGCAGUCAUCAAGCUUGAGUUCAUGAAAGGUCAAUGGCAAAGCUGAAAGUGGGUUGGGGAGAUUGCAGGCGAUCUUGUCUCGACCAAAUUUUGACCGGGCCUACGCUCGCAAUUUGGAUCCAUGGAUCUACCCUAGUCCCCAUCUUUAUGGAGGAAAAGUGGACUUUUUUUGAGCGAAAAUGGAGAAAAAAUGGAGUAACCAAACCCCAAUAUUGCAUAUGAUUUGUAGUGGUUCAAAAAUUAGGGUUGGGUUAGGCCUUAAUGCAACAUUGGCCAUCCUUGUGCAACACAUAGGCACAUGUUGCCUUUGGCAAAUAUCUUGUGCAUAUCGAAUCAUGAUAAAUGUCUAAAAAAAUAUUAGCGUUUUCUUUUCUUUGAAGCAAAAGUUUAAGUGAUAUAAAAAAUCAGUUCUAAUCAGGCUAGAUUUAGUAUUAUAAACUAACCCAAAUUCUAUGGAAUAAAUAAUGUGAUAUAAGUCCAACUUCUGCUUUGUGAACCACUUUGGACCACUUAUGCAUGAUGCUCCAGCGUACCUACAAGAAGAAAAUUCUGAAGGACAAUUUGAUUAGACUAGUUCGAACCUUUGGCACCUUUCAAUCCACCAAGGGAUGAAAGAAUAAAGUCUGAUCAUGUUUGAAGCCAGAAUUAGAAUCUGGCGUAGGGGUGGGCUUGGAAUCCCACAUGCAGACAUCAAUUCCGAUUCAUAUCAAGAAAACUUAAAUGCUUGAUCCAAUUGAAUAAGAACUAGUUGAGCUAAACAAAUAACUAGUGAUUAUAAAAGAUUAUGGCAAAAUAUUAAGACCAAGCUUAAUUUGUCCAAGGCUAAAUUAACCCAAUCUAACUCAUUUAGCACGUUGACAGAAAUGUGAAACAUGACUUAAAAAAAAAAAAAAAGAUGCUUUGAUCAUGGCUGACACCCAUCUUGCCUACGGAGCUAUCACAACCAAGAAAUAAAAAAAUGUGGGGCUUUCAACAGGUUGGGUGAAGGGUUGGCAGGCCGUGUCUUAGGUGUUUGAAGGAAGCAAUUCCAGAGGAGAUGAUAGCCACAUAAAAGGAAAAGAAAACCGUGUUUCUCUACCUUUUUGUUGGAAAAAUCCGUGUUUCCUUUAUGUGCUUCUAUUUUGCUCCAUUGGCUUAAGAUGUGGUACUAUAUCUUGAGAAAUUAUACCCUAUUCCUUGCACACCAUAUAGCCGUGCACCAUGCUAAUCAUCUCAUCUUCUUUCUAUGGGCUCGUCUUCAUGAUUGGCUUAUGGCAAAGAAACGAGAUGAUUCUGGUGUGGUGCACAAAUCAUAUUGGUGCAUGCGGUGUAGAGUAUUAUUUGUCCUACAUCUUUUAGAAGUCCAGCAAGAUAUGGCAACCUAUGUACUACUCAUUACUAUUGCCACAUCAUCAGCCUCAUCAUAAUCAUCGACUCCACCACCAUUAACAAUAUCAUGCCAUGUGAGACUAAAUAAUCCAUGCUGCGGAGUGGUUUAAGAAACCAGGAGGGCCACCUAGGAUCAAUGGGGUAAGGGGAUAAUAAACUUGAGGAUCAUUUCAUGUCUCCUCCAACUCACCACAUUCAAUUGACAUCUUGUCUCCUUGACUCUCUCUCCAGCCUUUUCUCAGCAAAACAACCCACCCUAUUCAUCCUGCCUCUUUGUCAUUGCCAAGUCAUCUCCUAUAACCCCUACCAUCUAUUCAUUGUGGUUGCAUAUUCUCCCUGCCCUUCACAACUUUCUUGGGUGAUAUAAUUGAUAAAUAUGAAAGACAUUUCUCAACAAUGUUGGCACACCUUGUAAUGAUGAAUUCUUUACAAGUGAUCAUGCAAUAACUAGUGCAAAUAUAAAUUAUUUGAAAUAGCAUACCAAAUUUAAAAUAUAGACCGAUUUUUCUAUCAUUCUACAUAAUGUGCAUCACAAUCUUAAAUGGUUGACCUUUGCACCAAGAAAAAUAUUGUGUUUCCUUUAUUUUAUUAGACAACUCAAUCCAAGGUCAGUAAUAGACUCUUCAACCAAGAAAAAGAAAAAAAAAUCAAACAAAGCGAUGGAUGCACGUCCUAGUUCAUUUAAUCAAUGAUUUGACUAUUUGAGCGAAUCUUACUAGCAUCGAGCUCUAAACAUAAAUUUCUUUGUGACAUAAGGUUGACUUCACUAUCUAAUUUAGUACAGAAUAUAAAAAUCAACAUUCUAAGAGGCUUUGCAUCUGAAAGGAAAAAAGAAUGGAUACAUGGAUGCACGCUAUCUUAUGCUUGACCAAUGAUAUGAGGGCUGCUGCACUAGCAUUAUGCUUCGAAUACGAAAAUCUAAAUAAUAAAAAAUAAACUUUGCUAUAUGAUAUAGUGCUAUCUGAAAGUCAUUCCACUAAAAAAGACCAUUUAACAAAAAUAAAUCCAUACAAGAUAUGAAAUUUGAAUAGGAAUUAGCUGACCCCUUCAAGUAUUUGGAGAAGUUAAGAUCAUUGACCACUAUUUUAUUUUUAGACUUUGUUGGAUAAAAAUUUUAUUCCUGUCCUUGAUUUCAAUCGCCAUUCUAUUUUUAUUCUCAUCCUUUAAAAUAAGCUAACAAUCACUCAAGAAAUAAAAAUAAGGUUUCUACUUCUUAGUGGAUCCAAACUUUGGUGCUUGAUCAUGUGCACGCAAGUUUGCAUGUAUGUGCAUGCAUGCAAAGACAUAAGAAGUAUGAUAUUUGGAAAAGAAUGAAUAAAUCCCUUGAUAAGUUCUGGCAUUUGUCUUUAAAUAGGAGAUAAAGUUUCCCCCUUAUACUAGGGAUAAGAAUGGUUUGGAUCAAGGGACUAUGUCAGAAAUAGAUGAGAUUUUCGUUGAUGUCUCGUCCUCUUGAAUAAUAUCCUAACUAGGAUGCACUUACAAAUAGUUCUCUGCAGGUGUCAACUUUAAUGACAACAUAACCUCCUCAAACA